RNAcentral lists this microRNA precursor (103 nucleotides) under Marmota monax (woodchuck). The record is from RNAcentral. Lineage: Eukaryota; Metazoa; Chordata; Mammalia; Rodentia; Sciuridae.
UGUGCAAUUGUGAGGCCAUAUAGUAGCUACAAGUUUGAUGCUUUAAGGAACUGCCAAACUGUUUCCCAGAGUGGCAGUACUAUUUUGUAUCCCUGCUAGCAGU